AUACGGAGGAUCCGAGCGUUAUCCGGAUUUAUUGGGUUUAAAGGGAGCGUAGGUGGAUUGUUAAGUCAGUUGUGAAAGUUUGCGGCUCAACCGUAAAAUUGCAGUUGAAACUGGCAGUCUUGAGUACAGUAGAGGUGGGCGGAAUUCGUGGUGUAGCGGUGAAAUGCUUAGAUAUCACGAAGUACUCCGAUUGCGAAGGCAGCUCACUAGACUGUUACUGACACUGAUGCUCGAAAGUGUGGGUAUCAAACAGGAUAGAUACCCUGGUAGUCCGCACAGUAAACGAUGAAUACUCGCUGUUUGCGAUACACGGUAAGCGGCCAAGCGAAAGCGUUAAGUAUUCCACCUGGGGAGUACGCCGGCAACGGUGAAACUCAAAUGAAUUGACGGGG
RNAcentral lists this ribosomal RNA (392 nucleotides) under uncultured bacterium. Its description in RNAcentral is "partial 16S ribosomal RNA". It matches the Rfam family "Bacterial small subunit ribosomal RNA", at positions 523 to 918 of the family's 1533-position model. The record is from RNAcentral.